GGACAUGAGGGUGAUCUGGCUGUGACAUCUGUCACCCCACUGAUUACCAGGGUUGAUUCACCUGAUCUGGCUGGCUAGGUGGGUGUCCCCUUCCUCCCUCACUGCUCCAUGUCCAGCCCUCCAGAAUCUCUGUGCUUGGUUGAAGAGAAUAACUACCCCCAAUAGAGAAGGACUGUUUCCUCAAUCAAGGGUAUAGGAGUAACUGUACUUCCAUGCUAGAACCUCCAAACAAGUUUCCAACAUGUUAUGGUUUAUGUCUGUGUGUCCCUCCAAAGCCUCAUGCAGUCACGGGGCAGGCUUUUAGA
Molecule: small nuclear RNA, 305 nt
Filed under: Chinchilla lanigera (long-tailed chinchilla)
Lineage: Eukaryota; Metazoa; Chordata; Mammalia; Rodentia; Chinchillidae
Description: 7SK RNA (ENSCLAG00000021469.1)
Rfam family: 7SK RNA
About the family: 7SK was discovered as an abundant small nuclear RNA in the mid-70s but a possible function has only recently been suggested. Two independent studies have found that 7SK RNA binds the CDK9/cyclin T complex (known as elongation factor P-TEFb). P-TEFb activates transcription by phosphorylating the C-terminal domain of RNA polymerase II.
Source: Rfam by way of RNAcentral